Non-coding RNA from Phrynosoma platyrhinos (Desert horned lizard), 72 nucleotides. Lineage: Eukaryota; Metazoa; Chordata; Lepidosauria; Squamata; Phrynosomatidae. The record is from the annotation of a GenBank genome assembly.
GUCAGUGUGGUGUAGUGGUUUGAAUGUUGGAUUAGGACUUUGGAGACCAAGGUUUGAUUCCAAGCUCAGCCA